RNAcentral lists this ribosomal RNA (253 nucleotides) under uncultured bacterium. RNAcentral's name for it is "partial 16S ribosomal RNA". It matches the Rfam family "Bacterial small subunit ribosomal RNA", at positions 524 to 776 of the family's 1533-position model. The record is from RNAcentral.
UACGUAGGGUGCGAGCGUUAAUCGGAAUUACUGGGCGUAAAGCGUGCGCAGGCGGUUUUGUAAGCCAGAUGUGAAAUCCCCGGGCUUAACCUGGGAAUGGCGCUUGAAACUACAGGACUGGAGUAUGGCAGAGGGAGGUGGAAUUCCACGUGUAGCGGUGAAAUGCGUAGAGAUGUGGAGGAACACCGAUGGCGAAGGCAGCCUCCUGGGCCAAUACUGACGCUCAUGCACGAAAGCGUGGGGAGCAAACAGG